CGGUCCGGCCGCUAGCUGAGAACUAGAUCCUCUGGGUUUGGUAUCUUGUCCUCAAGGUAUCCUGGGGGCAGCGCCAUUCACUGCGAAAUGGAAGACAGAAGAAGAAGCAGAGUUUGAGGGUCCAGGCCCCGGAGAGAGGAAGGCAUGGCUUGUGGGAGCAUGUGGUGACUCUGCACUGUAGAGGCAACCAGGAGGAAGCCAGGUGUCACCUGUGCGGAUGAACUGGGAAGACACUUCUGUGAAGGAUUAGAAGACAAGCAGGCCUGCAGUACCCACGGAUUACGGAAGACUUUGUAAGAGUUAAGUCUUUUCUCCCUUCAGAGACAACACCCUCACUCCUGAGGAGAUGACGAAGUAUUAAAGAGCCAGUGACAGCGGCUGGAGACAUGGCUGGCUGCUUCAGAGCACUGGCUGCUCUUGCAGAGGACCCGGGUUCAGUUCCCAGCACCCACAUGGUGGCCGUUCUGGACA
Long non-coding RNA from Mesocricetus auratus (golden hamster), 471 nucleotides. RefSeq lists it as uncharacterized. The record is from RefSeq and is a predicted model, not a curated record. NCBI's taxonomy places the organism in Eukaryota, Metazoa, Chordata, Mammalia, Rodentia, Cricetidae. The transcript has 4 exons.